AUUGAACGCUGGCGGCAGGCCUAACACAUGCAAGUCGAGCGGAUGAAGGGAGCUUGCUCCCGGAUUCAGCGGCGGACGGGUGAGUAAUGCCUAGGAAUCUGCCUGGUAGUGGGGGAUAACGUCCGGAAACGGGCGCUAAUACCGCAUACGUCCUGAGGGAGAAAGUGGGGGAUCUUCGGACCUCACGCUAUCAGAUGAGCCUAGGUCGGAUUAGCUAGUUGGUGGGGUAAAGGCCCACCAAGGCGACGAUCCGUAACUGGUCUGAGAGGAUGAUCAGUCACACUGGAACUGAGACACGGUCCAGACUCCUACGGGAGGCAGCAGUGGGGAAUAUUGGACAAUGGGCGAAAGCCUGAUCCAGCCAUGCCGCGUGUGUGAAGAAGGUCUUCGGAUUGUAAAGCACUUUAAGUUGGGAGGAAGGGCAGUAAGUUAAUACCUUGCUGUUUUGACGUUACCAACAGAAUAAGCACCGGCUAACUUCGUG
RNAcentral lists this ribosomal RNA (484 nucleotides) under uncultured bacterium. RNAcentral's name for it is "partial 16S ribosomal RNA". It matches the Rfam family "Bacterial small subunit ribosomal RNA", at positions 30 to 507 of the family's 1533-position model. The record is from RNAcentral.